ACGGGUGAGUAACGCGUGGGAACGUACCUUUUGGUUCGGAACAACACAGGGAAACUUGUGCUAAUACCGGAUAAGCCCUUACGGGGAAAGAUUUAUCGCCGAAAGAUCGGCCCGCGUCUGAUUAGCUAGUUGGUGGGGUAAAGGCCCACCAAGGCGACGAUCAGUAGCUGGUCUGAGAGGAUGAUCAGCCACAUUGGGACUGAGACACGGCCCAAACUCCUACGGGAGGCAGCAGUGGGGAAUAUUGGACAAUGGGCGCAAGCCUGAUCCAGCCAUGCCGCGUGAGUGAUGAAGGCCCUAGGGUUGUAAAGCUCUUUUGUGCGGGAAGAUAAUGACGGUACCGCAAGAAUAAGCCCCGGCUAACUUCGUGCCAGCAGCCGCGGUAAUACGAAGGGGGCUAGCGUUGCUCGGAAUCACUGGGCGUAAAGGGUGUGUAGGCGGGUCUUUAAGUCAGGGGUGAAAUCCUGGAGCUCAACUCCAGAACUGCCUUUGAUACUGAAGAUCUUGAGUUCGGGAGAGGUGAGUGGAACUGCGAGU
Molecule: ribosomal RNA, 537 nt
Filed under: uncultured bacterium
Lineage: Bacteria
Description: bacterial SSU rRNA
Rfam family: Bacterial small subunit ribosomal RNA
Source: RNAcentral